AUACGGAGGGUGCAAGCGUUAUCCGGAAUCAUCGGGUUUAAAGGGUCCGUAGGCGGGCUAAUAAGUCAGGGGUGAAAUCCCACAGCUUAACUGUGGAACUGCCCUUGAUACUGUUGGUCUUGAGUUACAGUGAAGUGGUUAGAAUGUGUAGUGUAGCGGUGAAAUGCAUAGAGAUUACACAGAAUACCGAUUGCGAAGGCAGAUCACUAACUGUAUACUGACGCUAAUGGACGAAAGCGUGGGGAGCGAACAGGAUUAGAAACCCUAGUAGUCC
RNAcentral lists this ribosomal RNA (274 nucleotides) under uncultured bacterium. RNAcentral's name for it is "partial 16S ribosomal RNA". It matches the Rfam family "Bacterial small subunit ribosomal RNA", at positions 523 to 796 of the family's 1533-position model. The record is from RNAcentral.